Molecule: ribosomal RNA, 714 nt
Filed under: uncultured Corynebacterium sp.
Lineage: Bacteria; Bacillati; Actinomycetota; Actinomycetes; Mycobacteriales; Corynebacteriaceae
Description: bacterial SSU rRNA
Rfam family: Bacterial small subunit ribosomal RNA
Source: RNAcentral
AACGGAAAGGCCCUGCUUGCAGGGUACUCGAGUGGCGAACGGGUGAGUAACACGUGGGUGAUCUGCCCUGCACUUCGGGAUAAGCUUGGGAAACUGGGUCUAAUACCGGAUAGGAGCCAUCUUUAGUGUGGUGGUUGGAAAGUUUUUUCGGUGUAGGAUGAGCUCGCGGCCUAUCAGCUUGUUGGUGGGGUAAUGGCCUACCAAGGCGGCGACGGGUAGCCGGCCUGAGAGGGUGUACGGCCACAUUGGGACUGAGAUACGGCCCAGGCUCCUACGGGAGGCAGCAGUGGGGAAUAUUGCACAAUGGGCGCAAGCCUGAUGCAGCGACGCCGCGUGGGGGAUGAAGGCCUUCGGGUUGUGAACUCCUUUCGCUAGGGACGAAGCUUUUUUGUGACGGUACCUAGAUAAGAAGCACCGGCUAACUACGUGCCAGCAGCCGCGGUAAUACGUAGGGUGCGAGCGUUGUCCGGAAUUACUGGGCGUAAAGGGCUCGUAGGUGGUUUGUCGCGUCGUCUGUGAAAUUCUGGGGCUUAACUCCGGGCGUGCAGGCGAUACGGGCAUAACUUGAGUGCUGUAGGGGUAACUGGAAUUCCUGGUGUAGCGGUGAAAUGCGCAGAUAUCAGGAGGAACACCGAUGGCGAAGGCAGGUUACUGGGCAGUUACUGACGCUGAGGAGCGAAAGCAUGGGUAGCGAACAGGAUUAGAUACCCUGGU